CUAUAGAAUUAAUAAAUAAAGAUUAAAAAUUAAUAUAAAAUAAAUUGUACGUAGAUUUAAAAAUAAAUCAUGCAACAGCAAUGAAGAUGAAAAGGAAGAUAAACUAGACUAUGAAAAAAGAUAGAUUCAAAUGGAAUCCAAUAGGGACUAUUAGAUGUCAACGAACAUCCAGAAACGACUUGAAAGAAACCGCGAGAAACUAGUCGGAGAGGAAUCGGAGGCGACGGAGACUGGAAGGACAGAGAAAGAUGAAAUGAUAUAGAAAAGGGAAGGAAGGGGAUGGUCAUCUAUGUCAUUCGCGGAGAAAAGGCAGAGCUUACAGCGUGCUACCACCUAUCAAGCAGUAAAUGGUAUAGCAAUGGCCGGGUUGUUUUUCACGCGGGUGGAUUUUACAACGCGAGAUAUUACUCUGCCCUUCCUCCCUCUCGCCGCAUUUCUCCUCUUCCUUUCCUCACCACCACGCUACCGCCAAACAUCCCGCCGACCUUACCAGGCAGGGUGUGGCCUCCAUUCUGCAGCUUUUAUACAUUGCCUUUCACGUGUGCAUCAGCGAUACAGACGUACUUCACUCUCAUCGCCUGUUCAACUCUCAUUUUUAAUUGCCGUUUUCGAGUCUCCGAUAGGCAAGAAAUAAAUAUUACAUGAUAAUAAUAAGUAUAUCACUAUAAAUAAAGGAACUAGAAAAAUACUGUGCAUGGUAUUACCAUGCAAGAUGCGUUUGUUUUUCAACUUUUUUGGAGUCACGAAGAGACAAUGCUAAUUCUGGCUGGAAGAUGGGUAGAUAGGCCACCAUUUCGAUUAAAGCCGAUCCGCGUUGAAAGUGAGCCGACAUAAGCCGCAAAUAAUAAUUACGAUCGCGUGCAAGCCGGUUAUUACGGAGAGCGCCGGAAACUGCUUCGGUUACUAAUGAUUAUGUUCGUUUUUCAAGUACCAUCCCCUAAUGGCGCCACUUAAUCAGAGCCACUUCGCCAGACUCGCUUCGCCGAACAAUCGAUCGAGCUUGCGAUGUCAGAAAAGCAUGAACGACACAAAAAAGUUACAAUAGCAAUUGCUUUCACUUGGGCUUAGUCCUUUUCGCGACUGCGAGAUGUUAAAGGAAUCGCAUUUGUGCAAUUUUGUACUUUAUUGUCCGUACGUAACACGCUCAGACAAGCAGAAAAAGUUUAUUCCACAAAAUUGAGGGAAAGAUGCAUGAAACUAAAUUUAAUUGCAUUCGUUUUUUCAAGAAUGCAUUGAAUUGAUAUUGAAGGGAGUUUAUGGGCGUGAAACGGACAAAAUGAUAUAUUUUUAUGAACUCUUUUGAAGAAACUGACCGCCUAAAUUUAAUUUUCCCCCAUAUAAAGAAGAUUUUAAAAAAGAUAUUUGAAAAUUACCGCACACAUUGUAUCUUAAAUCAAAUAGAAAAGAAAUUAAAUCUAGCUGGCAGAAUUCGCACCAUUGUUGAUCCCGCCAGGCAACAGAAGCUGUCUGGUUACCUCGGGGGUGAGAAUUAGCGGUCGGUAACGAAAGAAACUUAAUUCUGUUUGAAUUACGAUCGUCAUUUUUUUUCUGUCAUCAGCACGCGGGGACAAGAAGCCGAUAUAAUUCAGCCUCGAAAAUUGAAACUGGAAAUUAACGGCGCGGCGCGCCGAAAGAGCGGCGAGCGGAAAAGUUUUACCAUCGCGGAAAUAAAAAUCGCAUCUGUCCGCACGCUAUUCUGCCCCGCGAUAAUAAAAUUUCUUGAAAAGGGCCGUGUACAGGCACAUUAAAGUGCUCAUCUCUUUUGAGCCGCAACUACAAAAUUUUGCUAGCGGCAUGACAACUCAUAUUUUUUUAAAUACGAUAAGCGAAAUUUGCGGGAACGUAUUAAAAUAGAACAGACUGAAAAAGUCUGUCGGAGUGCUUCGAAAUUGCUGCUCUCUGUACACUUUGGGUACAAAGGGGGUAGCGUGCACGUGCGCGUGUAAGACAUACAUACAGCUUCGCGCAAACAUGGGCGCAUACCCGAGCAAACGCAUACGAGCUGCGAUAACAAAUGAACAGCGAGCAUGCAAAUUUGCGCUGUUAAAAUUCAGAAAAUGUUUACGCCACAACAAAAUGCAAACGGAGCGCUCGCUGGUGCUGCACCUGCGUCUGACCUGCGUCUGAUUUGUUCGCGAAACAUGAUACAUCGUCGAGAGUUACAGAAUAAGCUUAUUUUUGCGUUCGCCGUUCGUUCGCCGUUCGUUCGCUCGACGUACACCCACAUCUUAAGGCCUGUCUCUCUGUCUCUCUCUCCCGAUGUUAACGACCUCGGCGAUUGACUCGCGUGACCUGACCUAGAGUCCGCUUCGCAUACGCUCGCGCCACUUCGGCUGUCUCCGGUGGUCGCGUUGGCACGGUGCUCGCACCGCUCGAUACUUGCUCCUCGGUUACUAGUCAGUAUUCGCUCGACCAGCGAGCUGUUAAGAUAGGGGGAGUUUUGUCUUUCUGGAUAAGGAGCAAAGAAGCCCACGAGAAACUCUCAAUGCUAAUCCUGCGGCAAUUUGAAGAUGCAAUGAGGACUUAAAAAUCUCCGAUUAUGUGAAGCAGCAUGCUUGCGAUGGAUAGUGAUGUUUUAUACUAUCCUGGCGAAGAAUCGAAUCGCGAUCUGCGAUUCGGACCACAAUCACGUGAGAAUGUGACUUUCGGAGCGAGAGUGUGGUCGUAUCCACAGAUACCAUGCGUCGCUUGCAUAGUUUCGCACUAAUGGAAUUCAAUAAUUAGUCGCCGACUAUAAAGUUUCUUGCAAGAAUGGCGUAUGUAUUCCGCUUUAACUUCCAAUGUUUUCAGUUACAAUCCCCUUAACUUGCAACUUAUUUGCUUGCUAAAUUUUCUUGCUAUUUAUUUUUGCUUGCUAUUUUAUCUGUUAAUUAUUCUAUCAUUAACUGUUUUGAUCUAUAAUUAUAAUAAUUCCUAAUAUUAUGUUAGAAUAAUUUGAAUUAGGUAGCAACUAUUUAUACAUAUAUUUAUAACUAUACUAUUAUAUAUGUAACUAUGUACAUGAACCGUUCACCAAGUUUGUUAAAAUAUUUUAUUAUUUAAUUCUCAAUAUUCAUUAGGAUGAAUUAUUCAUUUGGAUUUCAUAUGGAGUAUUCGCGAACAAUUUAACGAAUUUACGACAAGUAUUCGUUAUGAAUUAUUGAUUCACUACAGGAUAUUAGUUAGUAAUUAGUUAUAUAUCGCUCAUAUAGUAAUUAGACCAUUUUAUGAAAAUUUGUUACAAAUUAUAUUUGAUAUUUUAAUCUAUUUAAUAUUUAAUUUCCGAUAUAUGUUAUUUGCCGUUCAUUUUGCAUAAAUUUUGCUUGAAAAUUCAACCUAUCGAUCAUUUUUCAUAUUACUCUUUGCAGUUUCAUGGCGUUUAAGAGUCAUUAUACUGCGAUCUAUGGCAAAAACCCGGCUUAUUGUCAUGAAAGAGUCACUGUAGGGGUGCAUCAGUCGAUGAAAUUUUAAUCCAAUUAGAGCCACCGAUCCUGCCAUCCCCCUUUACUCUCGUCGCGUGCAUUUCGAAGUUAAAAUCAAUAAGCAUUGACUAUGAAAACGAGCGCUUAAGGCAGCUCGGAAAUAAUGGCAUUCAUCGCUUUGAUAAUAGCAACAGAGGAUAGUAGCCAAGGGGCGCACUGAGGUUUACGGAUAUAUAAUACGUAGGUAGAUAAAUUUAUGUCUCCGAUAAAGCUAGCUAUUCUUCUUUAACCAACGAUUUAGCAAUUUUAGAAAAAUAUCAUAUUAAUGUAAGAAAAGAAUAUGAACGAAAAUAUAAUAGAACAAACACAACGUGUAACAAAGUUGCAUAAUAACAUAAGAAUAACGACGUAAUAUCAAUCUACGUAUAUCGAUAAUUAUUCUUGCAAUAAAAGUUGAUUUAUUCAACAGUUGGAUUAAUAAUAUUUCAUAUAUUAGUUAGCAGUUAUUUAAGAACAUAAAUUAUUAGAUUAUGUAAGUCAAAUUUAUGCGACAAUAGUAUUUUACGGAUUUUCUUUUAGACUUACAUCACGAUCAGGAUGACGUCAGCAAAGCGGGACUUGCGACUCUAAUAGCAAGUAUGCGUUGGCAAAUUCAACACGAUGCAUGUCACUACAUUACUUCAGCAAAUCAUAAAUUGCUAAAUUCUUAUUCCACAAGUGAUAAUGUGUCGAAGAUAUCAUAUUGAAAUGUUGACAUAUUGAUAAGAUAGCUUCCGCUGGAGAUAUCGAUUAACACUGCAAUUUAUUUCACGCAUCACUUCACAGUUUUGCAAUUAUAAUAUUAUACGUUUGGUGCAUUAUUAAUUACCUCCUUGCGUUAAUUCAUACAUCAAACAUCUAAAAACGGAUAUAAACGGAAUUUACAUAUUCUAUUGCAUUAAAGUAUUACUUUUAAACGCGAUUGAUUUCAUGUGUCACUUCACAGUUUUGCAAUUAUAAUAUUAUAUUUAAUGCAUUAUUAAUUACCUCUUUGUGUUUUAUACGUAAUCAAACGUUUAAGAACAAUUACAAACGGAAUUUAUGUAUUCUGCUGCAUUAAAAAGUAUUAUUUUUACACAAAGAAAAAAAUAAGUUACAUCCUCUCCGCGAUAAUAUUUUAUAUUCAAUUUUAUAUUUAAAUUAUAUGCGAUUUUUGUUAAUUAAUUUUGUUAAUUAAUCAAGUAAAUGUUGCUGUCUAUCCAAUCCGGCUUUUAAUUUUUGCACUACUUUUCAUUUUAAUCUUUCACUUUGUUACAAUGCACACUUUGUUACAAUACUCCAACCGUUUGUCGUUCACUAUAUUUCACGGUACAUCACUGUGAGAUAAAAAGGUUACGGGAUUUCUAUAGUAAAAAUAUUUAAAUAAUAUCUUAGGACGAGUUCCAGCAGAUGCUUCGCAAACAAAGAUAUGCCGUGCACUGAACAGACGCAUGCGCCGCGUCACGUCGCACGUGGCUGUGGUGGCCGUCAGCUGUUGGGCGUCAACAAGUCCCGCUAGAAAUGGUAGGAGUCUGUUACCAACGGAGAAUCACGACCCACUGUCUGCAAGUCGAUAGAAGAAAGAACCUGGCCAAGAAAAUAGAGGGAAAUUGCGGAAAAACGAGAGCCAGAUGAGGAAGGAGGAGAAGAAAGAACUUCUUGGUCUGAGCCAAAAAGUUAAGGGGAAGAGAGAAGAAAGAGGAGAAUGUGAGAUGAGGAGGAGGAA
This is a long non-coding RNA of Ooceraea biroi (clonal raider ant), 5145 nucleotides long. RefSeq lists it as uncharacterized. The record is from RefSeq and is a predicted model, not a curated record. Lineage: Eukaryota; Metazoa; Arthropoda; Insecta; Hymenoptera; Formicidae.